RNAcentral lists this ribosomal RNA (544 nucleotides) under uncultured soil bacterium. RNAcentral describes it as "bacterial SSU rRNA". It matches the Rfam family "Bacterial small subunit ribosomal RNA", at positions 64 to 587 of the family's 1533-position model. The record is from RNAcentral.
GAACGCGAAAGUUCCCUUCGGGGAGCGAGUAGAGUGGCGCACGGGUGAGUAACACGUAGGUAAUCUACCUUUGGAUGGGGAAUAACAACCGGAAACGGUUGCUAAUACCGCAUAAUGCAGCGGCACCUAAUGGUGACAGUUGUUAAAGCGGGGGAUCGCAAGACCUCGCGUCUGAAGAGGAGCCUGCGGCGGAUUAGCUAGUUGGUAAGGUAAUGGCUUACCAAGGCUACGAUCCGUAACCGGCCUGAGAGGGCGGUCGGUCACACUGACACUGACAUACGGGUCAGACUCCUACGGGAGGCAGCAGUCGGGAAUUUUGGGCAAUGGGCGAAAGCCUGACCCAGCAACGCCGCGUGAAGGAUGAAAUCCCUCGGGAUGUAAACUUCGCAAGAACGGGAAGAAUAAGCGAGAGUUAAUAUCUUUCGUGAUGACGGUACCGUUUGUAAGCUCCGGCUAACUCCGUGCCAGCAGCCGCGGUAAUACGGGGGGAGCAAGCGUUGUUCGGAUUUACUGGGCGUAAAGGGCGCGUAGGCGGUCAGCACAG